GAUGAACGCUGGCGGCGUGCCUAAUACAUGCAAGUCGAGCGAACAGACGAGGAGCUUGCUCCUCUGACGUUAGCGGCGGACGGAUGAGUCACACGUGGUUAACAUACCUCUAAGACUGGGAUAACUUCGGGAAACCGGAGCUACUACCGAAUAAUUUAUUGAACCGCAUGGUUCCAUAGUGAAAGACGCUUUUGCUUUCACUUAUAGCUGGCUCCGCGCAGCAUUAGCUAGUUGGUAAGGUAACGGCUUACCAAGGCAGCGAUGCUUAGCCGACCUGAGAGCGUGAUCCGCCAGCUGGUAACUGAGAAACGGCACAGACACCUGCAGUGGGCAGCGGCAGGGAAUCCUCCGCGAUGGGGGAGUGCCUAACGUAGCAACGUCGGGGAAGGGAUGAAGGACUACUGAUCGGAAAACUCUGUUGUUAUUGAAGAUCAAAUGUUUAAGUAACUAUGCUCAUCUUGACGGUACCUAAUCAGAAAGCUACGGCUAACUACGUG
RNAcentral lists this ribosomal RNA (497 nucleotides) under uncultured bacterium. RNAcentral describes it as "partial 16S ribosomal RNA". It matches the Rfam family "Bacterial small subunit ribosomal RNA", at positions 28 to 507 of the family's 1533-position model. The record is from RNAcentral.